GCGGACAUGGUGGAAUUGGUAUACACAACAGACUUAAAAUCUGUCGCUUCAAUAGCUUACGGGUUCGAGUCCCGUUGUCCGCA
RNAcentral lists this transfer RNA (83 nucleotides) under Sinorhizobium fredii CCBAU 25509. Its description in RNAcentral is "tRNA-Leu". It matches the Rfam family "tRNA". From Rfam's summary of the family: Transfer RNA (tRNA) molecules are approximately 80 nucleotides in length. Their secondary structure includes four short double-helical elements and three loops (D, anti-codon, and T loops). The record is from RNAcentral. Lineage: Bacteria; Pseudomonadati; Pseudomonadota; Alphaproteobacteria; Hyphomicrobiales; Rhizobiaceae. RNAcentral also lists the same sequence under 2 other names.